AGAGCAUGAUACCGGCUCAGAACGAACGCUGGCAGCGUGCCUUAUACAUGCAAGUCGAGCGAGAAAGCCUCUUCGGAGGCGAGUAAAGCGGCAAACGGGUGAGUAACGCAUGGGUUACCUGCCUUUCGGAGUGGGAUAACGGCGGCCCUUCGGGGCCUUUAGCGAAAGUGCCGCUAAUACCACAUGUUGAUUUCGGGGCACAUGCUUAAUCGUAAGCCUUGUAGUCCUGAAGUUGAAAAGGUGUCUGCCUUCGGGCAGAUUUCCGCCGAGAGAGGGGCCCGUGUCCUAUUAGCUAGUUGGUGAGGUAACGGCUCACCAAGGCGAUGAUGGGUAGCCGGCGUGAGAGCGCGACCGGUCACACUGGGACUGAGACACUGCCCAGAGCCCCACGGGGCGCAGCAGUAGGGAAUAUUCCACAAUGGGCGCAAGCCUGAUGGAGCGACGCUGCGUGGAGGAAGAAGGCCUUCGGGUUGUAAACUCCUGUUAGGGGUUAUGAGUUCUGACAAAGGCCCCAGAGGAAGCUGUGGCUAACUCCGUGCCAGCAGCCGCGGUAAUUCGGAGACAGCGAGCGUUGUUCGGAAUCACUGGGCGUAAAGCGCGCGUAGGCGGCGCGGUAAGUUGGAGGUGAAAUCCCGGGGCUCAACCCCGGAACUGCCCCCAAUACUGCCGUGCUUGAGGGCGACAGGGGAGAGUGGAACUCGUGGUGGAGCGGUGAAAUGCGUAGAUAUCACGAGGAACGCCGGCGGCGAAAGCGACUCUCUAGGUCGUUCCUGACGCUGAGGUGCGAAAGCCAGGGGAGCAAACGGGAUUAGAUACCCCGGUAGUCCUGGCCGUAAACGAUGGGCACUUGGCAGUAGGGGACCAACCUUUAUUGCCGUAGCUAACGCGAUAAGUGCCCCGCCUGGGUAGUACGGCCGCAAGGCUAAAACUCAAAGUAAUUGACGGGCCUUCGCACAAGCGGUGGAGCAUGUGCCUUAAUUCGAUUCAACGCGAGGAACCUUACCAGGGUUUGACAUGCAGGUGGUACGAACCCGAAAGGGGGAGGACCACGGUUUUCCGUGGAGCCUGCACAGGUGUUGCAUGGCUGUCGUCUGUUCGUAUCGUGAGAUGUUGGGUUAAGUCCCGCAACGAGCGGAACCCUUGUCCCUAGUUGCUAACGUGUCAUGGCGAGGACUCUAGGGAGACUGCCGGUUUCAAACCGGAGGAAGGUGGGGACGACGUCAAGUCAUCAUGGCCCUUAAGCCCUGGGCGGGACACGUGCUACAAUGGUCGGUACAACGGGAAGCCAAGCCGAAAGGCGGAGCGAAGCCCUAAAAGCCGGCCCCAGUUCGGAUCGGGGGCUGCAACUCGCCCCCGUGAAGUCGGAAUCGCUAGUAAUCGCGGAUCAGCCACGCCGCGGUGAAUAUGUGCCCGAGGGUUGUACACACCGCCCGUCAAGCCACGGGAGCUGGGAGCACGCGAAGUCGUGGGUCUAACCGCAAGGAGGGCCGCGCCCACCGUGAGCCCAGCGACUGGGACUAAGUCGUAACAAGGUA
This 1535-nucleotide ribosomal RNA is filed under the name metagenome. Its description in RNAcentral is "bacterial SSU rRNA". It matches the Rfam family "Bacterial small subunit ribosomal RNA". The record is from RNAcentral.